CCUACGGGUGGCAGCAGUGGGGAAUAUUGCACAAUGGGGGAAACCCUGAUGCAGCGACGCCGCGUGAGUGAAGAAGUAUUUCGGUAUGUAAAGCUCUAUCAGCAGGGAAGAAAAAAGACGGUACCUGACUAAGAAGCCCCGGCUAACUACGUGCCAGCAGCCGCGGUAAUACGUAGGGGGCAAGCGUUAUCCGGAAUUACUGGGUGUAAAGGGUGCGUAGGUGGCAUGGUAAGUCAGAAGUGAAAGCCCGGGGCUUAACCCCGGGACUGCUUUUGAAACUGUCAUGCUGGAGUGCAGGAGAGGUAAGCGGAAUUCCUAGUGUAGCGGUGAAAUGCGUAGAUAUUAGGAGGAACACCAGUGGCGAAGGCGGCUUACUGGACUGUCACUGACACUGAUGCACGAAAGCGUGGGGAGCAAACAGGAUUAGAUACCCGAGUAGUC
This 441-nucleotide ribosomal RNA is filed under the name uncultured bacterium. Its description in RNAcentral is "partial 16S ribosomal RNA". It matches the Rfam family "Bacterial small subunit ribosomal RNA", at positions 338 to 795 of the family's 1533-position model. The record is from RNAcentral.